AGAGUUUGAUCCUGGCUCAGAAUCAACGCUGGCGGCGUGCCUAACACAUGCAAGUCGAACGCGAAAGGGGAGCAAUCCCUGAGUAGAGUGGCAAACGGGUGAGUAACACGUGGGUGACCUGCCUUCGAGUGGGGGAUAACGUCCCGAAAGGGACGCUAAUACCGCAUGACAUCCUGCUUUUGGAAAAGCGGAAAUCAAAGCUGGGGAUCGCAAGACCUGGCGCUUGAAGAGGGGCCCGCGCCUGAUUAGCUAGUUGGUGGGGUAAUGGCUCACCAAGGCGACGAUCAGUAUCCGGCCUGAGAGGGCGGACGGACACACUGGGACUGAGACACGGCCCAGACUCCUACGGGAGGCAGCAGUGGGGAAUUGUUCGCAAUGGGCGCAAGCCUGACGACGCAACGCCGCGUGGAGGACGAAGAUCUUCGGGUCGUAAACUCCUGUCGAGCGGGAAGAAUGCCUCGCGGAUGAAUAAGCCGCGGGGGUGACGGUACCGCUAAAGGAAGCCCCGGCUAACUCCGUGCCAGCAGCCGCGGUAAU
RNAcentral lists this ribosomal RNA (537 nucleotides) under uncultured soil bacterium. Its description in RNAcentral is "bacterial SSU rRNA". It matches the Rfam family "Bacterial small subunit ribosomal RNA", at positions 8 to 524 of the family's 1533-position model. The record is from RNAcentral.